AACGAACGCUGGCGGCAUGCCUAACACAUGCAAGUCGAACGAACCCUUCGGGGUUAGUGGCGCACGGGUGCGUAACGCGUGGGAAUCUGCCCUUUGCUUCGGAAUAACUCAGGGAAACUUGUGCUAAUACCGGAUGAUGUCUUCGGACCAAAGAUUUAUCGGCAAGGGAUGAGCCCGCGUAGGGUUAGGUAGUUGGUGGGGUAAAGGCCUACCAAGCCGACGAUCCUUAGCUGGUCUGAGAGGAUGAUCAGCCACACUGGGACUGAGACACGGCCCAGACUCCUACGGGAGGCAGCAGUGGGGAAUAUUGGACAAUGGGCGCAAGCCUGAUCCAGCAAUGCCGCGUGAGUGAUGAAGGCCCUCGGGUCGUAAAGCUCUUUUACCAGGGAUGAUAAUGACAGUACCUGGAGAAUAAGCUCCGGCUAACUCCGUG
RNAcentral lists this ribosomal RNA (433 nucleotides) under uncultured bacterium. RNAcentral describes it as "partial 16S ribosomal RNA". It matches the Rfam family "Bacterial small subunit ribosomal RNA", at positions 29 to 507 of the family's 1533-position model. The record is from RNAcentral.